This is an RNA transcript of Hipposideros armiger (great roundleaf bat), 1757 nucleotides long. It is a transcript of the gene named nicotinamide riboside kinase 1, with no coding region annotated. The record is from RefSeq and is a predicted model, not a curated record. The transcript has 11 exons. NCBI's taxonomy places the organism in Eukaryota, Metazoa, Chordata, Mammalia, Chiroptera, Hipposideridae.
CGGUUUGGCGGCCUCUACCUAGACCGCCUCUGACCUGGGAGGGACGCAGGGGAUUGGGCGGUGGGCCCCUAGGAUAGCGAGCUGCGGGGUUGCGGCGGGUUAGUGACAGGCGCGCGCUUGGCCAUCGCCUCUGCUUCUUUGCUUGGGAGGACCCGGAAGGCGUGAUUUUCCAAGCUAAUUAUGAACACAUUUGUCAUUGGAAUUGGUGGUGUGACUAAUGGUGGGAAGACAACACUGGCUAAGAAUUUGCAGAAACACCUACCGAACUGCAGUGUCAUAUCUCAGGAUGAUUUCUUUAAGCCAGAGUCUGAGAUAGAAAUAGAUAAAAAUGGAUUUCUGCAGUAUGAUGUGCUUGAAGCGCUUAACAUGGAAAAAAUGAUGUCCACUAUUUCUGGCUGGAUGGAAAACCCAAGGCACUCUCUGGUAUCAACAGAUGGGGGCAACACUGAGGAAAUUCCCAUAUUAAUCAUCGAAGGUUUCCUUCUCUUUAACUAUAAGCCUCUUGACACUAUAUGGAAUAGAAGCUACUUUCUAACCAUUCCGUAUGAAGAAUGUAAGAGGAGGAGGAGUACAAGGGUCUACAAGCCUCCAGACCCCCCCGGGUACUUCGAUGGCCACGUGUGGCCCAUGUAUCUGAAGCACAGACAAGAAAUGGAGGACAUCCCGUGGGAAAUUGAGCCACUGCUGAGGUUCUGGCCUCACCACUUCCAGUUUGGACCAUGGUUGCAGGGACGUCCUCUUCUUACUGCCCAUCUCUCCCUCCCCAUCAAAAAUUUACCUAGAUGGAACAAAAUCUGAAGAGGACCUCUUUUCACAAGUGUAUGAAGAUCUAAGACAAGAACUAGCAAAGCAAAAAUGUCUGCAAGUAACAGCAUAAAGAUGGACUGUACUGAAUCCUUUCUGGGAUAAACUAGGAAACUCGAAGGAAUAUAUUCAAGAACCUUAACCAAGAUAAUACACCUCUACUUUUGACACAACUCAGAAAUGUCUUGAAAAAGCCAGGGUCGCUCAUUCUUGGCUUGUGGACCUAUCACCAGGAGGUCACAAGAAGGCAGCAGAAGCUCCCCGAAUAGUGUCAGCUAUCAAGGCAGGAAGACAGCCACCCAACACUGUCUCCAACAGAGUUCCCCCUAUGUCGCUUAGCCCGGAACUGACUCACAUGGGCACUUCUCACUGCAAGGGAGGCUGGGAAGAGGAUGUCAUAAUAAGUUUGGACCAAUUAGGAUUCAUUGCCUGGGGCCAUUGCCACGGGAACAAAAUCAAGCCUCUUUUAGGAAGGAAGGAGGAGGAAACAGAUGAGCAGCUGGAAGUGUUGGCUAUUUUAUCAAGCUUGGAUUGCUGUCAUUCCAAAUUACUGUUGUCAAAACAGUCGAAUUUUUUUUUUAGAAUAAAAGUCUAGAUAUGAUUUUUCAAGCUUGAUUUCCAAGAAUUUCUGACAUUCUCCACAUAGAGGGAUGUCCGUACUGAUGGAGAAGCAUUACACUUGACUUUUCUCCCCAUUUCAGCUUGUGAAACUAGGUCAGAGAAAGACCAUCUUGAAGAGAAACAAAACCUUAACAGACAUUAAAAAUGGAAAUAUUCAAAUUAUUUCUGAAAGAAAUACAUAUCUUUUGCUUACUAUUAUCAGUGAAACAUCAGGAACUAGAAAUAAAGAAUAUCAGUGCUUCAUCUCUGGUGUGCGGUUUCACGUUACAAUUACCCUUAUCAAAGCAGUGAAUGGGAUAUUGUAUCUUUUUCAAAACACAGAGAAAAUCUGA